This 497-nucleotide ribosomal RNA is filed under the name uncultured bacterium. Its description in RNAcentral is "partial 16S ribosomal RNA". It matches the Rfam family "Bacterial small subunit ribosomal RNA", at positions 28 to 507 of the family's 1533-position model. The record is from RNAcentral.
GACGAACGCUGGCGGCGUGCCUAAUACAUGCAAGUCGAGCGCUGAAGCUUGGUUCUUGUACCAACUGCAUGUGCCGCGCACGUGUGUGUCACGCGUGUGGACUCUGCCUUUCUUCGGGGGACCACCUUUGGACACGAAUGCUAAUACCGCAUAAAAUCUUUAUACACAGGUUUUAAGUUUGAAAGAUGCCAUUGCAUCACUCACAGAUGGUCCCGCGUUGUAUUAGGUAGUUGGUGAGGUAAAGGCUCACCAAGGCGUUGAUACGUAGCAGACCGGAGAGGGUGAGCGGCCAGAUUGGGAGUGAGACACGGCACAAACGGCUACGGGAGGCAGCAGUAGGGAAACUUCGGGCAGGGGCGAAAGACGGACCGAGCAACGCCGCGUGAGUGAAGAAGGUUGUCGGGUCGGGAAACUCUGUUGGUAGAGAAGAAAGUGGGUGAGAGUGGAAAGAUCAUCAAGUGACGGUAACGAGUAAGAAAGGGACGGCUAACUACGUG